This is a small nuclear RNA of Suncus etruscus (white-toothed pygmy shrew), 107 nucleotides long. Lineage: Eukaryota; Metazoa; Chordata; Mammalia; Eulipotyphla; Soricidae. The record is from RefSeq and is a predicted model, not a curated record.
GUGCUCGAUUCAGCAGCACAUAUACUAAAAUUGGAUCUAUACAGAGUAGAUUAGCAUGGCCUCUGUGCAAGGAUGACACGCAAAACAAUUUACAAGUUCAAAUUCAU